This 548-nucleotide ribosomal RNA is filed under the name uncultured bacterium. Its description in RNAcentral is "bacterial SSU rRNA". It matches the Rfam family "Bacterial small subunit ribosomal RNA", at positions 339 to 906 of the family's 1533-position model. The record is from RNAcentral.
CUACGGGAGGCAGCAGUGGGGAAUCUUGCACAAUGGAGGAAACUCUGAUGCAGCGAUGCCGCGUGAGUGAAGAAGGCCCUUGGGUUGUAAAGCUCUUUCGUCGGGGAAGAAAAUGACUGUACCCGAAUAAGAAGGUCCGGCUAACUUCGUGCCAGCAGCCGCGGUAAUACGAAGGGACCUAGCGUAGUUCGGAAUUACUGGGCUUAAAGAGUUCGUAGGUGGUUGAAAAAGUUAGUGGUGAAAUCCCAGAGCUUAACUCUGGAACUGCCAUUAAAACUUUUCAGCUAGAGUAUGAUAGAGGAAAGUGGAAUUUCUAGUGUAGAGGUGAAAUUCGUAGAUAUUAGAAAGAACAUCAAAAGCGAAGGCAACUUUCUGGAUCAUUACUGACACUGAGGAACGAAAGCAUGGGUAGCGAAGAGGAUUAGAUACCCUUGUAGUCCAUGCCGUAAACGAUGUGUGCUAGACGUUGGAAACUUAGUUUUCAGUGUCGCAGCGAAAGCAUUAAGCACACCGCCUGGGGAGUACGACCGCAAGGUUAAAACUCAAAU